This 253-nucleotide ribosomal RNA is filed under the name uncultured bacterium. RNAcentral describes it as "partial 16S ribosomal RNA". It matches the Rfam family "Bacterial small subunit ribosomal RNA", at positions 524 to 776 of the family's 1533-position model. The record is from RNAcentral.
UACGUAGGGUGCAAGCGUUGUCCGGAAUUAUUGGGCGUAAAGAGCUCGUAGGCGGUUUGUCGCGUCUGCUGUGAAAACCCGAGGCUCAACCUCGGGCCUGCAGUGGGUACGGGCAAACUAGAGUGCGGUAGGGGAGAAUGGAAUUCCUGGUGUAGCGGUGGAAUGCGCAGAUAUCAGGAGGAACACCGAUGGCGAAGGCAGUUCUCUGGGCCGUAACUGACGCUGAGGUGCGAAAGCGUGGGGAGCGAACGGG